This 423-nucleotide long non-coding RNA is filed under the name Helianthus annuus (common sunflower). Lineage: Eukaryota; Viridiplantae; Streptophyta; Magnoliopsida; Asterales; Asteraceae. The record is from RNAcentral.
AUGUCAUGCGUGAGCCAGGGGUUUUACGAGGCCUUCGGGGGUUGGUUCCCCGGAAUUGGUGGCUUUUUGCGUAUGAGUGUACUUGGAUGGUCGGGUUUUAAGCAUAAGAUAUGGUGAAUAAAAUUAAAAACAUUAGAAGAAAUAAUAUUUAAGUUGUAAAAAAAUAAUAUUUAAGUUGUAAAUAACCAACCCUAACAUUCUUCUCUUGUUCUCCAGUUGAUAAUUUAAAGGAAAAAAAGAUGAGAGAAUUAGUGAUUUCCAGCUUGAAAUUGAAGCAACUUUGGAGAAAUCAAUGACGCUGACAAGAAAAUGAAAAUUGUGCAGAAUUAGAAGCAAUGGGGCUCGUUUUGCUUCUUUUUUGAAGAUGGAACGUUUACACAAAGAUGGACGGGUUGUUGUCGACGGUUCAUGGCUCACUGCAGA